This 422-nucleotide ribosomal RNA is filed under the name Theileria buffeli. RNAcentral describes it as "SSU rRNA". It matches the Rfam family "Eukaryotic small subunit ribosomal RNA", at positions 559 to 1018 of the family's 1831-position model. The record is from RNAcentral. Lineage: Eukaryota; Apicomplexa; Aconoidasida; Piroplasmida; Theileriidae.
GUCUGGUGCCAGCAGCCGCGGUAAUUCCAGCUCCAAUAGCGUAUAUUAAAAUUGUUGCAGUUAAAAAGCUCGUAGUUGAAUUUCUGCUGCAUUACAUAUCUCUUGUUUGAGUUUGUUUUUGUGGCUUAUUUCGGUUUGAUUUUUUCUUUCCGGAUGAUUACUUUGAGAAAAUUAGAGUGCUCAAAGCAGGCUUUUGCCUUGAAUAGUUUAGCAUGGAAUAAUAAAGUAGGACUUUGGUUCUAUUUUGUUGGUUUUAGGUACCAAAGUAAUGGUUAAUAGGAACAGUUGGGGGCAUUCGUAUUUAACUGUCAGAGGUGAAAUUCUUAGAUUUGUUAAAGACGAACUACUGCGAAAGCAUUUGCCAAGGAUGUUUUCAUUAAUCAAGAACGAAAGUUAGGGGAUCGAAGACGAUCAGAUACCGU